GAUGAACGCUGGCGGCGUGCUUAACACAUGCAAGUCGAACGGAAAGGCUCCUGCUUGCAGGGGUACUCGAGUGGCGAACGGGUGAGUAACACGUGGGUGAUCUGCCCUGCACUUCGGGAUAAGCCUGGGAAACUGGGUCUAAUACCGGAUAGGACGAUGGGUUGGAUGCCAUUGUGGAAAGUAUUUCGGUGUGGGAUGAGCUCGCGGCCUAUCAGCUUGUUGGUGGGGUAAUGGCCUACCAAGGCGUCGACGGGUAGCCGGCCUGAGAGGGUGUACGGCCACAUUGGGACUGCGAGACGGCCCAGACUCCUACGUGAGGCAGAAGUGGGGAAUAUUGCACAAUGGGCGCAAGCCUGAUGCAGCGACGCCGCGUGGGUGAUGACGGCCUUCGGGUUGUAAACUCCUUUCGCUAGGGCUGAAGCGCAAGUGACGGUACCUGGAGAAGAAGCCCCGGCUAACUACGUG
Molecule: ribosomal RNA, 465 nt
Filed under: uncultured bacterium
Lineage: Bacteria
Description: partial 16S ribosomal RNA
Rfam family: Bacterial small subunit ribosomal RNA
Source: RNAcentral